This is a long non-coding RNA of Sorghum bicolor (sorghum), 2521 nucleotides long. RefSeq lists it as uncharacterized. Lineage: Eukaryota; Viridiplantae; Streptophyta; Magnoliopsida; Poales; Poaceae. The transcript is spliced from 3 exons. The record is from RefSeq and is a predicted model, not a curated record.
UCUCCCUCUGAUUUUCUUUCCAAAACAAACCACCACACCUCGACGCGGGCAUGCGUGCGUGCGUCCUAGCAGGUAUGCCGAGCCCUCUUUCCUUCUCCUCCCUUCCACCACCACCAGCGCCAGAGCCCCCACAUGGCCAGCGGGGCAGUGAGAUCGAGCUCCAGAGCUCCCCACGGUUCGGUAGCCCACCGCCAGACUCCAUGAAUCCGUCGGGUAGCGACCUCCACCACCACCAGGCCCUCGGCGGCGGCGUGUAUCUAACCCAUUGAACCCACUCAUCCCAUCCAUGCAUCGAAUAGUACCAUGGUUAACCGAAUGCACAAAUCAAUGCAUCGAUAAGAACCACUGCAAUGGAUCAAUCAUUUUUGACAAUCAGCUGACAGCUGCCAAAGUUUGUUGCAAAGCUUGUGUGAUCAUUCUGUAGGUCAACCAGUGAUUCUAAAGGUUAGUUUCUUCUAUUCAGUUUAGCUUCUACGGAGUACAUUCAGAUGAGAAACUAUUAUUAAAUCCUCUAUUUUAUUCAUUAAUUUUGUUAUGUUAUUUAUUUAAUGUAUAUUUAGAUUUUGCUCCUUGAUGGGAUUACUCCUUUUCCUUGUGGUAUUAUUUUUUUUUGCUAUCUGAUUAUAUUAUACUAUAAUCCUAUCUCGCAAUGUUUUCACAUAGCUUGAAGCAUCUUAUACUGUCCAUGAUUUUUUUUCUAGAGUGAGUAGGAAUAUUUUCGAUGAAAGUUAUUUUCACUAUUUCAAACAGUAUAUCUAAGGUUGAAGUUGGAAGGAGAAUAUUGAUGGAGCCUAAGAGGUCUUGUGAAAGAAAGGGGGUCUGACUGUAUGAGCAGCCAAAUCUUUAUGAUAUAAAUGGGACAUCUACACUGAAGGUGUCACACCUGGUUUCUCUACAUCUGACAUAGUUUGACCAGCUCUUUAACAGUAGCUACAUGCUAAUCAUUGUUGCAUACCAUCAACUAUUGCUGUAUUUUAGCAAGUUGCCAUGAAGGGUUCUAAUCAAUAUACAGGUUCUGCACUUUGCCAAGUAAGCAGACUAAACAUAUUACACUUUACCACUCAUACUUAUUUUCUGUACAAAAUGUAAGGAAUUUCAGUUCAGAUUCUGCACUUUGCCUAUUCUGUCUAUUAGAUUUGCUAACAGGUUCACUCAUGUAGUCAUAUUAUGGGAGCCACAAAUUUCAGAAGAUAGGUACAAGAGCUAUUAAUUCGGAAUUGAUGUUGCCAUAAGUUGACUUAUAUAGCCUAUUCCUGGGAGAAAGGGUAAAGCUGCCUGCUCUUGUUUGGAUCUCAUCGUAAGAAAUGAAUUGAUGUUGCCAAUCCUUCCUGAAAUAGGAAAGCUAGCAGAUGUUUUAUAUAUGAGAUGGACAUGCUCCCUUUCUCUUGAUGCAACAAGAUUUAAUGGUACAAUAUGAUAAUUUACAUGAUUCAUACUUCAAAAUAUACAGUUCCACUUUCGUAAAAUGAUUCUGGGUGUAGAUUUUAUGUUUCAGUCUCUGAACCCUGCUUAUUUGCUCACAUUUACUGAUUAUUCAAAACGAAGGUGUUUGUUGAUUAGCCAUGUAAAUUUAUUAUUUUAAAAAUAUUAUUCAGAUUAUUGUGGGCACAUUGGGGUUUGGGGGUUGUCAAAUCUCUCUAGAUCAUAGGUUUCUUGCAUAUACAGUUGAUACAUCUGGGAUUGAACUAUUUUUCCAUCGAUCUGAACAUGCCAUAUUUAGUUUAGGCAAUGGAAUAGUUAGUUCUGCAUGAACUGUGAUUAUUUGAGUAGAUGAAUGACUCAAGAAGUGGGCUCUUCCCUAGGAAGGAUUUGGCAAGGCAAGCUACUUUAAGAACAUUCAGAUCCAAGUGCCGCCACCAUCAUCAACUCCUUGCUGCCUUGCCUGCACCGGAGAUGGACCCAAUGCCAUGAUACAUAUUGGGUUCUGCGCCUCUGCUACAAAGCCACCAUGCCAGACUCCUCGCUGCCUUACCUGCUCCAGAAGCAGACCCAUCACAGCACCUGCGUAUCUCCAAGACCACAACCAGUUCGAGAAGAGGAGGGGAAAUUUUACCAAAGAGAUUGAUAUUGUUGAUGUGUUUUUGCAGAUUAGCUAUCAAGCCGGACCAUAUCCAUCUCAGUGAUGUUUCUGAAAGAUGGUAAGAUGGUAAUGAUCUACUAUGAUGUUGGACAGCUUGCUCCUCCGUUGUUUGAAGAAAAAGCUUUGCUCAAAUGGGGCUUUGCUUUUCAAGGCAAAAAGUGGGUGUGGUUGGUUUCCGCAAGAUCACUCAAAGUACAUUGCAUUAGAAGUAAAGGUUAUAGUAAUGAAAUGAAACUAUAAUAGGGAGUCGUUUGUCUGCCCCUUGACUCAUUUUGAUCUUAGACAAGUGGCCUCAUUUUGAUCUCAGACAAGUACUUGUCUGGCAGUAGCAGAUAUAUGAUUUUACUUUAGCUUUAUGCAAGAAGGAUUCAUGUAUCACCAAGCAAAGGAGUUGUAUAUGAUGUUAACAUAUUGGAUCCCUGAAGGGCCCUACCCGUUGCA